This 467-nucleotide ribosomal RNA is filed under the name uncultured bacterium. RNAcentral describes it as "bacterial SSU rRNA". It matches the Rfam family "Bacterial small subunit ribosomal RNA", at positions 47 to 518 of the family's 1533-position model. The record is from RNAcentral.
GUUUAUACAUGCAAGCGAGCGAGGACGGUAGCAAUACCGAGCCGAGCGGCGAACGGGUGAGUAACGCGUAAGCAAUCUGCCCCACAAUCGGGAACAACCGUGCCAACGCGCGGCUAAUGCCGGAUAUUGUAGUCUACUGCAUAGUAGGCCAACGAAAGAUUUAUUGUUGUGGGAUGAGCUUGCGUCCGAUUAGCUAGUUGGCGGGGUAAUAGCCCACCAAGGCGACGAUCGGUAGCCGGCCUGAGAGGGCGAUCGGCCACAUUGGGACUGAGAUACGGCCCAGACUCCUACGGGAGGCAGCAGUAGGGAAUAUUGCGCAAUGGGGGGAACCCUGACGCAGCCAACGCCACGUGUGGGAAGAAGCAUUUCGGUGUGUAAACCACUGUCGGAAAGGAAUAACGGAAGACUUCGGUCUUUAUGAAUGUACUUUUAGAGGAAGCACCGGCAAACUUCGUGCCAGCAGCCGC